RNAcentral lists this non-coding RNA (148 nucleotides) under Pan paniscus (pygmy chimpanzee). RNAcentral also lists the same sequence under 1 other name. The record is from Rfam by way of RNAcentral. Lineage: Eukaryota; Metazoa; Chordata; Mammalia; Primates; Hominidae.
GCCAGGUGUGGUGGCGGGCGCCUGUAGUCCCAGCUACUUGGGAGGCUGAGGCAGAAGAAUCGUUUGAACCCGGGAGGCAGAGGUUGCAGUGAGCCAAGAUUGUGCCACUGCACUCCCACCUGGGUGACGGAGCGAGACUCCGCCUCAA